Molecule: ribosomal RNA, 797 nt
Filed under: Pelobatrachus ligayae
Lineage: Eukaryota; Metazoa; Chordata; Amphibia; Anura; Megophryidae
Description: Megophrys ligayae partial 16S ribosomal RNA
Rfam family: Bacterial large subunit ribosomal RNA
Source: RNAcentral
CCAUUAAUACCCAUCAUUUUUCAGAACCCGGCACCAGUAUUGAGUCUUCCUAUAUUCAUAUAGAAAAGUUGAUGUUAGAACUAGUAACGUAGAAUUUUUUCUCCCUAUGUAAGUGUAAAUCAGAUCGAAUAACUCACUGAUAAUUAUACGGCUAUGAAAUCAACGUAGCAACCACCAACCAUGAAAACCCUACUGCUUCACCCGUUAACCUAACACAAGAACAUUAAAGAAAGAUUAAAAGACAAAGAAGGAACUCGGCAAACCCAAGUCCCGCCUGUUUACCAAAAACAUCGCCUCUUGAAAACUAUAAGAGGUAAUGCCUGCCCAGUGACAUGUGUUUAACGGCCGCAGUAUUUUGACUGCGCGAAGGUAGCGUAAUAACUUGUUUUUUAAAUAAAGACUAGUAUGAAUGGCCCCACGAGGACUUAACUGUCUCCUUUGUCCAAUCAGUGAAACUGACCCCCCCGUGCAGAAGCGGGGAUAACACCAUAAGACGAGAAGACCCUAUGGAGCUUUAAACCAAACCAACUAUCUUUUAUUAUACCCCCACGGGACUAAUAAACAUCAAGAUUCGAUUGAUAUAAGUUUUAGGUUGGGGCGACCAUGGAGAAAAACUUAACCUUCCUGACGAUCUAUAAACCAAGAGCUUCAGCUCUAAGUAUUAAGACACUUAACCCUCAUUGACCCACUCUGUGAUCAACGAACCAAGUUACCCUAGGGAUAACAGCGCAAUCCAUUUCAAGAGUCCUUAUCGACAAAUGGGUUUACGACCUCGAUGUUGGAUCAGGGCACCCAAG